Lontra canadensis (Northern American river otter) is the source of this 701-nucleotide long non-coding RNA. RefSeq lists it as uncharacterized. The transcript has 4 exons. The record is from RefSeq and is a predicted model, not a curated record. Lineage: Eukaryota; Metazoa; Chordata; Mammalia; Carnivora; Mustelidae.
CCCGACUCAACAAACGACACACAAAGGAGCCGCCUCCCUCGGGCCACGAACCUCCUAGGUGAGGUUUCCAAGCGGAGGCGGAAAGAGAAACGUUGCGCACGCGCAGAGGCUGAGGCUCGAGUUUCUCCAGUGCGCAGUCUCCAGGUUGGCGUGCGCCGCGCAAGUGUCGCGCGAGUUGCUCCUUUGAGAGAGAGUCAGAAAACGGGUAGUUCUGAAGAACUCUACGUCAGGGAAGGCUGAGGAUGAAGCUCCGAAAUUGAAAGAAGUCACUGGUGUGAGUGGUAAACUAGUAGAGUUGGAGGUCCCACCAUGGAUCACAGGGAUUAGAGCACUAUCAAGAUCAUUUAAAUAAUGUUGAGGAAGAAGUUGGCCUUCAGAUCCUGCCUGAAAUUCAACCUGGGGAAGAAAACAAUCUUGAUAAGUCAACCCCAGAAAAGCAAGCCGCAAGCCAUCCAUAGUCUCUGGUGUUAUUUGUACCAUCAAGCCAUCUAAUAAUGAGGGCACUAUAAGUGUUAUUCACCAAAAAGGAAAAGCUAUUUGGCUGGCAAUGCAGCAGGGCUUCUGGAAGAAAAGGAAGGUAAGACAAUUUCUAUAAUGAUAAAAAGCAGAAACCUUUUUAACCUUCAGUUCUCAGCCUAGAUCACUAAGCAAACAAACCUCUCUCAUAUCUUUUAUAUGAAUAUAUAUCCUUAAAAUUCUAA